UAAUGUUUUCUUUGCCUCUCCAUUCAAAACAAAUAAUGUGCUCUAAGCCCCCAGGAGCCCUGAACUGAGGACUGUGGGAAUGAUAAACUCCCAGACAAAUCUAAGCUUCUAUGGGAUUUGCUGCUCCAGCUGGAUGCAAAUAAAUCUGUGGCUCCUAAUGAGAUUCUUCCCAGGCAAUCAGUGAGCACCAGAUGAGGCCCUUCCUCAAAACAGACCUAGAGAAGAUCAGAGCAGAAUUAUGCUAAACAGAAGGAUGAGAAUGACAAAGCCUGCAGAAAAUGAGGAGCCAAGACGGUACAAGAAAAUACUGGAAGCACAGACAAUAGCCAAAUGUCAGCGAAACAGAAAUAGAUUUCUCAGUCUGAGGGGAAAGAAAAUCUAUCCAAUAGUUGCAUGAAAGUCAAAUAUGAAACCAUCAAGUGAUGCUGUCAUACCGCCUCAAGAUUCAGAGAAACAACUGGAACUCAGAGGAAGGUUAACUGACACUCAUCAAGAACUUCAGCGAGAAAUUAGAGAAAUAGAUAUGGACUUCUCAUAGUUGUAUUGCUCUGCUUCUAUCAGUGAAGGAGAUAGACCUCAGAAUGGUUAGUACCUGAUGGAAGGUUUUCUUUACUCUUUAAUUGGCAGAAGCCCAGACAGCACCAAGAGCAGGAGCAAGAUGAUUUUCAGUACUUUCUUCUGUUUGCUUGUGUAAAGGCAAAAUUGCAAGAAAAUCUACUUUCAAUUCUUUAUUCUCUAGCUGAAAGGUAUUUUGUGCAGAAUUGGGCAACUGGUUUGCCGGAAUUAAAAACACCUCUGGUGAGCAUAAAGAAACAGUUUGUAGUGGUCAAAUAUUACAAUCCCUAUAAGAACUAAGAAAAUCUCAUGAUCCCAGCUUACUCAACUAUAUCAAAUUUAGCCUCAGAGCAUCACAAAACCCUGACAUAGUUGCUAGCUCCUGCAGAUACCAGGUGAAGGUGAGAACUCUGGUUGGAGUCAGGAGUCAGACAGAAGUAGCACAACAGUAGCUAUCUAUAAAUAAAAUAGACAGAGGAUUUGGAACUUGCUGACUUUUAGUUUAUUUUCAGGACUGCUACUCUGCACAAAAAUAACAGUUUAGGAUGUAUAUUUGUACACUUCUGGCUGUGCUAAAAGACAAGAAGUGCUGAUUUCAGAGAGAAGCUUUCAGGCUGGCCCAAGUGAAACCAAGGCUAGAGAGUUCGGCAUUAUGACCUUCUCUCUCCAUUCAAGGGAGAUUACAGAAGUGAAAAGCAUAGCAGUAUCUUAAUCACAUAAUAUUCUAUCUUGUAGCAAAGCUACAUAAUUUUGUGAUUCUGAAGCUACCUUAUGCAUUUGUAUAUGACCAUCAGCUGUGCCCCAAAGAAGUUAAUACUAAAUCUUGUGCCAAAGUAAGUUCUUUUUAAACUCGUAUUUUCUUUCUUGGCUACCAUUUUACUAUAAAAAUGUAUAAAGUUGUAUAUGUACAUAUUUAGAGAAUUAUAGAAACACAGAAUGUUUUGAGUUGGAAGGGACAUUAAACACCAUCUAGUUUCACCCCCAUGCCACCUGGAUAAGGUUACCACCUGCCAGAUCAGGCUGCCCAGGGUCCCAUCCAACCUGGCCUUGAACAUUUCUGGGGGUGGAGCAUACACAGAUUCUCUGUUCCUGUGUCUCACCACCCUCUGAGUAAAGAAUUUCUUCCUUAUGCUUAAUCCAAAUUUACUCUUUUUUAAUUUAAAGCUGUUAUCCUCUUGCUCCAUUGCUACAUUCCCUGAUAAAGAGUCCCUCUUCAUCUUUCCUGCAGGCCCCAUUUAAGUACUGGAAGGUCAAUAUAAGGUCUCUUAGGAGCCUUCCCUUUUCCAACUCUUUCACGAAAGAUGGAAGGGGAUCAGGAAAAUCAGAGAAAUCUGAGAAGCUUGAUUUUACAUCACCAAGUGAACGCAGAUUUUUGGUCCUGGCCAGCCUUGUGCAGAAAGGGUUGGAAGAUAUUUUAGUUUCUGAAAAACUUCAGAAGACAGAAUUGGAAUGCAUAACAGCACACAUUUUGAAUCUAAAGAUUUAUGUACAGAAUCCAUUGUUCUAUUCUUACACAGCAAUAUAUUCUAUAUAUAUAGCAUACAUAUCUACCCAUCCAUGUAUCUUUCUUACCUAUCAUAUUAGAUGUUUAGUUUUAUACAACUGUCAUAAAACAUCCAGGAAUUUAUAUCUUGCUUUUUCCAGUUUUUUGGACAAGUAGAAACAGAUACAGGAACAAGAGGCAGCUUUUCAGUGUUGUUAUGUCAUCUAUCCAUCUAUCUGACUGCCUAUCUACUCACUAUUUUUGUAAAUAGUAUUGAACAAUAAGCUAUACCUGCAGCUGUGAUGGCAUCAUGUACAUAUAAUUAAAUAGAGAUUUGAUAUAACUUUUGAGGCUAACAUUGCUCAUUGUUAAUUCCUACUAUUCGCACCCCAGUUUUACUCAUCUUUUAAGUUCACCAAGUUAAAGGGCGUCCUCACUUGAGAACAAUAGGAGAUGAUCAGAAUAUCAGAUAAUACAAAUUGAUUUUUGUUUAUCUCUAAAAAUGACAAUAAAAUCUACUGUAAUAAAUGGCAUAGGUGGACUUGAUAUUUUAAACUUCAGGUGGCUGCAUGAUUUUAAUCACCAGCAAGAUAAGUUCAGAUUAGUUCACAGUAAUUCAAAUUAAUGUUACAAGGAAAGAGAAGAUGAAAACUACUUAUUUACAAAAUAACCCUAAAGCAACAAAAGGAGGAGGCUAAAGCAGGUUCCAAAGAUUUCUCCAGAAAAGAAUUUAUACAAGAAAUAUAUUUUACAAAUUAUACUUCCUCAAAUAAUGGCUGAGUACAUUUAAAUAUUUUUCUUUACCCCUGGACAAAUAGUAAGCAAAAGACAACUGGAAAUGCAAAAAAUAGCACCAUUACUUAGGGAAAAUAUAAUCUAAGGCAAAAAGAGCAGGUGUAGCCAUUGAAGAAGAAGCUGGAAUAUCAGCACUUUGAAUUGCACAUGCAGUGAGAGUAAUACCUACCCUACGUGGAAAGCUCCAGGAUGUCUUUCAGUGAUCCACGGGCUUUGUCCUGCUCUGGCAGUCAGCAGUGGAUGGGAGAGGAGGUGUUCAUACAAGGAGAAGCCUGCUUGCCACCACAAUUAGGGCUGUCCUGAGAUCUGUGAACGAGAAUGAUCUCUUCAGUCUGGUGCAAAGCAGCAGGAUUAAGGUCCCUAUACAUGUACAAGCUUGGGAGAGAGUCAGCAAUGCUAGGAUAAGGGUCACUUUUCUUCUUAGAGAAAAGCAUUGCUGGAUACAAUGCAAUUAUAUUUCAGUAAGGAGAGUUUUGAUGUGGACUCAGGGUACAGGAGCAGCCUGUCCUUCUGCACUGCCUGACACUUCCACCAUGUGUUGGGGCAAGGAGUGCAGGUCAGAAAUCUUGCAGAGCCUAAGGGAAAGUUUCUCCAGAAAACACUCACCAGAAAGUGAGAAGCCCACAGUAUUCUGGUGGAAGAAGUCAUCUGUGAACUUACGUAUGUAUCUGGGUCUAAAGGAAAGAGAGAAGUUUAUUCAAAAUACAUGGACCUAAGAUUGUACUGGGCUUGUCUGCCAUUACCUUGCAUUGCCUUGCCUUGGUUGACUAUUAAAAAUUAUGCAAUAAACCACGUUUAGACUAUUCAUUUACUUAUGUAUCCUCCCUGCUCUCUGUAAGAAGAUUUACUCCUUUUUGUAUGUUAAUCUUAAGGAAGUAUGAUGUAUCAUAAUCAACUUGAAAACCUCUUCAGAGAUGGUUUGUGUCACACUUCUCCUGCAGCAUCACAGAAAGUGUGCUCUUUCAUUUUUUAUUGUCCAGAGACAAAAUGCAGCCCCAUACAAAGCUAUGGAAGGGUGGAUGAGAGACUUCAGGAUCAAAAUGCCACAAGGUUACAUUGGCAGUAUUUUAGUAUUUUCAGAAAGGAAAAGAGAGAGUUAUUGUACUAAGUUUAUAAUAAAUGUCCUUCAUUUUUAGUUCAUGUGCUGAGAUUAAAAUGAAAGUGAACCAACACA
Long non-coding RNA from Numida meleagris (helmeted guineafowl), 4007 nucleotides. RefSeq lists it as uncharacterized. The record is from RefSeq and is a predicted model, not a curated record. The transcript has 3 exons. Lineage: Eukaryota; Metazoa; Chordata; Aves; Galliformes; Numididae.